This 270-nucleotide ribosomal RNA is filed under the name Aeromonas allosaccharophila. RNAcentral's name for it is "partial 23S ribosomal RNA". It matches the Rfam family "Bacterial large subunit ribosomal RNA", at positions 69 to 379 of the family's 2925-position model. The record is from RNAcentral. Lineage: Bacteria; Pseudomonadati; Pseudomonadota; Gammaproteobacteria; Aeromonadales; Aeromonadaceae.
CGAUAAGCUGUGAGAAGUCGGUAAGAGACGCUAUUACUCACAGAUUUCCGAAUGGGGAAACCCACUUAGCAUAAGCUAGGUAUCGUUGCAUGAAUACAUAGUGCAACGAGGCGAACCGGGAGAACUGAAACAUCUAAGUACCCCGAGGAAAAGAAAUCAACCGAGAUUCCCUCAGUAGCGGCGAGCGAACGGGGAUUAGCCCUUAAGUUUCUUGGAAGUUAGUGGAAUGGUCCUGGAAAGGCCAGCGAUACAGGGUGAUAGCCCCGUACA